Molecule: ribosomal RNA, 106 nt
Filed under: Octodon degus (degu)
Lineage: Eukaryota; Metazoa; Chordata; Mammalia; Rodentia; Octodontidae
Source: RNAcentral
AUCUACAGCCGUAUGACCCUGAGCGCACCUGAUCUCAUCUGAUCUCAGAAGCUAGGCAGGGUUGGGCUUGGUCAGUACCGGAUGGGAGACAGGCUGGUCCUGGUUU